Molecule: ribosomal RNA, 616 nt
Filed under: uncultured bacterium
Lineage: Bacteria
Description: bacterial SSU rRNA
Rfam family: Bacterial small subunit ribosomal RNA (bases 1-518)
Source: RNAcentral
CCUACGGGAGGCAGCAGUGGGGAAUAUUGGACAAUGGGCGAAAGCCUGAUCCAGCAAUGCCGCGUGAGUGAUGAAGGCCUUAGGGUUGUAAAGCUCUUUUACCAGGGAUGAUAAUGACAGUACCUGGAGAAUAAGCUCCGGCUAACUCCGUGCCAGCAGCCGCGGUAAUACGGAGGGAGCUAGCGUUGUUCGGAAUUACUGGGCGUAAAGCGUACGUAGGCGGUUAUUCAAGUCAGAGGUGAAAGCCUGGAGCUCAACUCCAGAACUGCCUUUGAAACUAGAUAGCUAGAAUCUUGGAGAGGUGAGUGGAAUUCCGAGUGUAGAGGUGAAAUUCGUAGAUAUUCGGAAGAACACCAGUGGCGAAGGCGACUCACUGGACAAGUAUUGACGCUGAGGUACGAAAGCGUGGGGAGCAAACAGGAUUAGAUACCCUGGUAGUCCACGCCGUAAACGAUGAUAACUAGCUGUUCGGGCUCUACGAGCUUGAGUGGCGCAGCUACGACAUUAAGUUAUCCGUCCGUCGGGAGGUACGGUCGCGAAGAAUUAAAACUAACAAAUAGAAUUAGACGGCGUGAGACGUAGCCGAACGGACGACCGACGAAGGGGAAGGUUAAGG